GAUUUCUGGCUUGAAACAUUUUGCCGGCCACGGUUUCGUGUGUUAGUGCUUGAUGUUCUGGCCAUCCUUCCAAUCGCUAUUGGCCUUUCUUCACUGAUUGGUCAGUAGUAUUGGAUCUUUUACUUUGAAAAAAUUAGAGUGUUUCAAGCAGGCUUUAUGCUAUGAAUACAUUAGCAUGGAAUAAUAAUUUAGGACUUCGGUUCUAUUUUGUUGGUUUCUAGGACUGAAGUAAUGAUUGAUAGGGAUAGUUGGGGGUGCUAGUAUUCAGCGGCCAGAGGUGAAAUUCUUGGAUUCGCUGAAGACUAACUUAUGCGAAAGCAUU
This 322-nucleotide ribosomal RNA is filed under the name uncultured Sandonidae. RNAcentral's name for it is "SSU rRNA". The stretch from base 62 to 322 matches the Rfam family "Eukaryotic small subunit ribosomal RNA", at positions 694 to 955 of the family's 1831-position model. The record is from RNAcentral. Lineage: Eukaryota; Cercozoa; Glissomonadida; Viridiraptoridae.